UACGUAGGGGGCAAGCGUUGUCCGGAUUUAUUGGGCGUAAAGAGCGUGUAGGCGGUUCGGUAGGUCCGUUGUGAAAACUCGAGGCUCAACCUCGAGACGCCGAUGGAAACCCCCGAACUAGAGUCCGGAAGAGGAGAAUGGAAUUCCUGGUGUAGCGGUGAAAUGCGCAGAUAUCAGGAAGAACACCCGUGGCUAAGGCGGUUCUCUAGUACGGUACUGACGCUGAGACGCGGAAGCGUGGGGAGCGAACAGG
RNAcentral lists this ribosomal RNA (253 nucleotides) under uncultured bacterium. RNAcentral describes it as "partial 16S ribosomal RNA". It matches the Rfam family "Bacterial small subunit ribosomal RNA", at positions 524 to 776 of the family's 1533-position model. The record is from RNAcentral.